RNAcentral lists this ribosomal RNA (253 nucleotides) under uncultured bacterium. Its description in RNAcentral is "partial 16S ribosomal RNA". It matches the Rfam family "Bacterial small subunit ribosomal RNA", at positions 524 to 776 of the family's 1533-position model. The record is from RNAcentral.
UACGGAGGGUGCAAGCGUUAUCCGGAUUUACUGGGUUUAAAGGGUGUGUAGGCGGGCAAUUAAGUCAGCGGUGAAAUCUCCGGGCUCAACCCGGAAACUGCCAUUGAUACUAUUUGUCUUGAAUAUCGUUGAGGUAGGCGGAAUAUGUCAUGUAGCGGUGAAAUGCUUAGAUAUGACAUAGAACACCGAUUGCGAAGGCAGCUUGCUAAACGAUGAUUGACGCUGAGGCACGAAAGCGUGGGGAUCAAACAGG